GGGUCCGCCCGAGAUCACAUCCGAGGGCUCUCCGUUCGCAACACGUUCGAUAUAAGGCUUGACAUCAUCGUAGCUCACCACCGAGAAGACACCAAUCACAAAACCGCAGAAAAGAUACUGUUGAGGAGGAGACAAUCUCUCUUGUGCUUUUUGGUUGUGUUCUAGCAAGGGACAUCUGGUCUGAAGUUCCGGUUCCACUUCUCCAAGCUGGAUUCUCAAGCUCGGUUGCAGAGAAUAUCAAACAUGUGUUGGAACAGAUGGAAUGGCUCUCAUUACCUGAGCAGGUUAGGAAUGCGAUACCGUGGCUUAUUUGGGGUAUAUGGAAAGCAUUCUCAUUGCUACAGCAUUCUCAUUGCUACAGCAUUCGCAGAUUAAUAAGAAUAGAUUUAGCAACAACAAUUGGUAUCAAGAUUAAAAAAAAAAAAAAUUGUUUUUUUUUCUCUUUUUUAAAUAACGCUAGCUAAUUAGUGAGUUAUAACAUAAGUGCGAUCCAUUAGUUAAAUUGCUUUUUUUGAAAA
This is a non-coding RNA of Camelina sativa (false flax), 518 nucleotides long. The record is from RefSeq and is a predicted model, not a curated record. NCBI's taxonomy places the organism in Eukaryota, Viridiplantae, Streptophyta, Magnoliopsida, Brassicales, Brassicaceae.